Molecule: long non-coding RNA, 426 nt
Organism: Nerophis ophidion (straightnose pipefish)
Lineage: Eukaryota; Metazoa; Chordata; Actinopteri; Syngnathiformes; Syngnathidae
Exons: 3
Source: RefSeq, a predicted model, not a curated record
AGGGCGGAAGUUACCAAAUAAAGGACCAGCGACCUUCUCCUCUAUGAUAAUUUCUUAUAAAGUACUAGCGUAUACACAACAGGGACAAUCGGUUUGCAGAUAACUAUAUACAAUGGUGGAGAGGCGGAGCCGACGGCGGGGCAGGACACGCUGUAGCCCUGCUCAAGAUGGCGGCAAGGAGGCGGAGAAUGUGGCGGAACGGAGAGAGUAUAAAAGAGGAGAAGGAGCAAAGCUGAGGGAAGGAGGUGGCGUGUCUGCAGCAGAUGCAGCGCAGGAGCGAUCAAAGAGCGACAGAGAACAGCACACAAGAGACGAUGCCGCGGCCGGCUGAAAGAGCGACCGAGGAGUGAGCAGCGGAGAGUAGCUGAAAGAGCGAUCCGAGCUGCCGAAAAAACUUUAUUGAAAAAUAAAGAGUCAAACCUGUGC